UAGCUUGCUACUCUGCUGACGAGCGGCGGACGGGUGAGUAAUGCUUGGGAAUAUGCCUUAUGGUGGGGGACAACAGUUGGAAACGACUGCUAAUACCGCAUGAUGUCUACGGACCAAAGUGGGGGACCUUCGGGCCUCACGCCAUAAGAUUAGCCCAAGUGGGAUUAGCUAGUUGGUGAGGUAAUGGCUCACCAAGGCGACGAUCCCUAGCUGGUUUGAGAGGAUGAUCAGCCACACUGGGACUGAGACACGGCCCAGACUCCUACGGGAGGCAGCAGUGGGGAAUAUUGCACAAUGGGCGCAAGCCUGAUGCAGCCAUGCCGCGUGUGUGAAGAAGGCCUUCGGGUUGUAAAGCACUUUCAGUAAGGAGGAAAGGUUAAGUGUUAAUAGCACUUAGCUGUGACGUUACUUACAGAAGAAGCACCGGCUAACUCCGUGCCAGCAGCCGCGGUAAUACGGAGGGUGCGAGCGUUAAUCGGAAUUACUGGGCGUAAAGCGUACGCAGGCGGUUUGUUAAGCGAGAUGUGAAAGCCCCGGGCUCAACCUGGGAACUGCAUUUCGAACUGGCAAACUAGAGUGUGAUAGAGGGUGGUAGAAUUUCAGGUGUAGCGGUGAAAUGCGUAGAGAUCUGAAGGAAUACCGAUGGCGAAUGCAGCCACCUGGGUCAACACUGACGCUCAUGUACGAAAGCGUGGGGGAGCA
Molecule: ribosomal RNA, 702 nt
Filed under: Pseudoalteromonas shioyasakiensis
Lineage: Bacteria; Pseudomonadati; Pseudomonadota; Gammaproteobacteria; Alteromonadales; Pseudoalteromonadaceae
Description: bacterial SSU rRNA
Rfam family: Bacterial small subunit ribosomal RNA
Source: RNAcentral